AGUGAACGUUGGCGGCGUGGAUUAGGCGUGCAAGUCGAGCGAGAACCGUAGCAAUACGGGGACAGCGGCGAAGGGGACAGUAAUGUGUAGGUACCUACCUCCGGGUUCGGGAUAGCUGCGGGAAACUGCAGGUAAUACCGAAUAACGUCUCCGGACCAAAGGUGUGAUUCCACCUGGAGAGGGGCCUGCAUCCUAUUAGCUUGUCGGCGGGGUAACGGCCCACCAAGGCGACGGUGGGUAGCGGGUGUGAGAGCACGACCCGCGUCAUUGGGACUGAGACACUGCCCAGACACCUACGGGUGGCUGCAGUCGUGAAUCUUCGGCAAUGGGCGCAAGCCUGACCGAGCGACGCCGCGUGCGGGAUGAAGGCCUUCGGGUUGUAAACCGCUGUCGUAGAGGAGGAAAUGCAGGGGGGUUCUCCCCUCUGUUUGACCUAUUCUAGGAGGAAGUACGGGCUAAGUUCGUGCCAGCCGCCGCAGUAA
This 482-nucleotide ribosomal RNA is filed under the name uncultured bacterium. RNAcentral's name for it is "partial 16S ribosomal RNA". It matches the Rfam family "Bacterial small subunit ribosomal RNA", at positions 28 to 523 of the family's 1533-position model. The record is from RNAcentral.